AUAAGGGAAUACUCAAUAUAAGACGACCCAAUCUGAUAUAAAAACUUAUACACUUAUACAUUUGACAUAUGGGCCUAUAAGGCCAAAGUUACACUAAACAUUGGCCGACAAGGCCGUACAAUCUUUCACGUACAGGACAUAUGUCUACAAGCCUCUAAGAGUACAUACUUAUUAUAAAGGUUGGGGCAGGACCCCGCCAUACCAAACAAUACACGUCUAAAUCAUACUGACCAAACAAGCAACUCCGGAGCAAGUGGAGGCACCAACACCUUCCGCUGAGCUGAUAGCCUACUUGGAGGACUCUCGACAUAUCUAUCAGGACCUGCGGGCAUGAAAUGCAGCGUCCCCCGGCAAAGGGACGUCAUUACAAAUAAUGUACCGAGUAUGUAAGGAAUGAAAAUCAGUAAACAAUAGACUUGAGAAAAAUAUAGAGUAAAAGACUCAACAUGUAAUUUUGAAUAGCUCUGUGAAUCAUUUCAUAUUUAUAAUGUCAUGCAUAUGCAUAUAAAUGUCAUACUAUACAUAGGUAUAUGUGUUCAUAACAUCAUCAAGUCUCUGAGGGCAUCCCAUCAUAUCAUCUCGGCUACUGUGGGCAAAUUAUCAACGUAUACCAGCUGAUCAGGUGGUGGUGCGUAUAUAACGCCGUAACCUUUUCCCAUAUCCCAUAUACAUAUAACAUACGCGUAUAUAAUGCCAUCUGGUCAUGGGUCAAUGUACAUGUAUGAAUGCAUGAAAUGCAUAAGAAAUACGUUAAUAAGAUUUCUCGGAAUAUCAUAAAAUCAAUAUGCCUUUCAGAUAAACUUUAUCAAAUACGUAUUUUUCUGAGACCCAUGAACAGAAGAUAUAAUAAUAAUUCACAUGGGGAAUCAAGAAUAUAGACACCCCAUAGUACUUCUAUGAAUAGAGUCAUUUAUGAAAAUUAUGCAUUUACUCGUUUCGUUUGUAUCGUAUGGAUCGUGCCAAAAAGAAAGAAGGGAUAACCUUAACAUACCUGAGCCGAUUCUCUUGACAAUCCCUCUAACAUACGUCAAUUGCGACACCACGUAACGAUGGAUCGAAGUAGGAAAAAAUCCGUAUGAUAUUCUUGAGAAAGAUUGCACCGUACUUCCUUUAUAAUUGCAAAAUCUCACGUUUUGAAUUGUUGAAG
RNAcentral lists this long non-coding RNA (1147 nucleotides) under Nicotiana tabacum (common tobacco). Its description in RNAcentral is "long non-coding RNA (NTAB_LNC011083)". The record is from RNAcentral. Lineage: Eukaryota; Viridiplantae; Streptophyta; Magnoliopsida; Solanales; Solanaceae.